RNAcentral lists this ribosomal RNA (563 nucleotides) under Aspergillus peyronelii. RNAcentral's name for it is "LSU rRNA". It matches the Rfam family "Eukaryotic large subunit ribosomal RNA", at positions 72 to 650 of the family's 3401-position model. Lineage: Eukaryota; Fungi; Ascomycota; Eurotiomycetes; Eurotiales; Aspergillaceae. The record is from RNAcentral.
GGCUUGCCUCAGUAACGGCGAGUGAAGCGGCAAGAGCUCAAAUUUGAAAGCUGGCCCCCUCGGGGUCCGCGUUGUAAUUUGCAGAGGAUGCUUCGGGUGCAGCCCCCGUCUAAGUGCCCUGGAACGGGCCGUCAUAGAGGGUGAGAAUCCCGUCUGGGACGGGGUGUCUGCGUCCGUGUGAAGCUCCUUCGACGAGUCGAGUUGUUUGGGAAUGCAGCUCUAAAUGGGUGGUAAAUUUCAUCUAAAGCUAAAUACUGGCCGGAGACCGAUAGCGCACAAGUAGAGUGAUCGAAAGAUGAAAAGCACUUUGAAAAGAGAGUUAAACAGCACGUGAAAUUGUUGAAAGGGAAGCGUUUGCGACCAGACUCGCCCGCGGGGUUCAGCCGGCAUUCGUGCCGGUGUACUUCCCCGUGGGCGGGCCAGCGUCGGUUUGGGCGGCCGGUCAAAGGCCCUCGGAAUGUAUCACCUCUCGGGGUGUCUUAUAGCCGAGGGUGCAAUGCGGCCUGCCCGGACCGAGGAACGCGCUUCGGCUCGGACGCUGGCGUAAUGGUCGUAAAUGACCG